RNAcentral lists this long non-coding RNA (312 nucleotides) under Elaeis guineensis (African oil palm). Its description in RNAcentral is "long non-coding RNA (EGUI_LNC002513)". Lineage: Eukaryota; Viridiplantae; Streptophyta; Magnoliopsida; Arecales; Arecaceae. The record is from RNAcentral.
GGACCCUUCGAUGCUGUAAGUCUCCGGACUGAUGUCGGUUGCUUGCCGAUGUGGAGCUCAGAUCUGGUUUGAGGAUGCCUUCUUUUUCAAGAACUUGCAAUGGAAGUCCAAACUCGCUGUAGGUACUUCAGUAGGGAUCCUGAGAUGCUUGAGUUAGUCGAAGCUCGAGAAUAGAGAAAGAGAAGAAAAAAGAGAUGAGAGAGUGAGAGAGUGUAGGCAUUGUUCUCUUUAUACUUGUUUGCUUACCUUAAGUUUCCCUCGUCACCUCUUUAUAUAGGGAUGGAGCUUUAGGCUAUUAUACCUGAAUCUGCU